CUUACCUAACUAUCAGAUUGAUAAGAAUGUUGUUUGUGAUGACCACAUAAACUAUAUAAUUAGACAUUUUAUAGUUUAAACCCACUUUACUAAAUACGGUGGUGUAUUAAAAGGCAGUUGAAAGAACUCCAUAGCCUUGCGAUUCAAUGAUGCUUAAAACAUUUGAUUAUAGAUUAUAUAUAAAUACACUACUCCUUUGUUCCUUUUAAUCAAAGCAACAAAGGCAUUCUUUUACAUCCAAUGCCAGAAUUACGUGUUUAUUGUCGUUUAUGAGACACACGGCUCCCUAACUUGAUAUAGGGACGAACUAAUUCGGGAUUUGAGAGCUAGUUACCUUUCCAUACAAGGAGAGUGGGUAGAGCCAACCAAUUAAGUUUAGUCCCUUCGAAUCUAAAUCCACUUUGCCCAUCGAGAAAGGUUGAUCAAAGCAGCAGAGAGAUGAGAAGCGGAUAAGCCAUGCCAUCUAGUAUGCCUCAGAGGCUGCGUUGCAUGGAGGCCUCCCCUCACUGUUGCUCUUUCUUGGGUUCCACUCCACCAAAUCUCUCACAUCCCGGUUCUAUCGAGCUGGUCUUUUCCUGCCCUCAUGAUUUCUUGGUCUUGCUUGGCGUUCUUGGCUGUUUUGGCAUGGUUUUGAUGUUCUAUGCUUCCGAAUCUGAUUCGCUUCUUCCCGUACUGUUGUGACCUCAAACUCUAGCAAAGGAUGAAAUGGUGGUCUUGAUCUGAACAAUGCUGAAUCCUCUCCCAAGUGAGAAACAAGCAGAUGGAAGAGAUGGCUACUCGGUCACAUCUGGUUGUUUCCUUGAAGGCAAUUCAUUCUUGGCUUAUCGACAAUGAUGGUCUUAUCAUCAUGUAACAUUACAAUGAUAGUGAAAGUCCUGCAUGCUAUGGUGAUUGUGAAUGUUUGUUUACUGACUGAUUGCUGUGCAAAAUGUUUGAGUCCAUUAUUUUUCAGAUACGUUUGAUCUCUGUAGAAACAGAUCAUGAAGAUUUCAGUGGGAAUUUCCCGGUGGUAACUUGGAUUUUAUGUUA
Long non-coding RNA from Musa acuminata AAA Group (dessert banana), 1029 nucleotides. RefSeq lists it as uncharacterized. The record is from RefSeq and is a predicted model, not a curated record. The transcript is spliced from 2 exons. Lineage: Eukaryota; Viridiplantae; Streptophyta; Magnoliopsida; Zingiberales; Musaceae.